Molecule: ribosomal RNA, 253 nt
Filed under: uncultured bacterium
Lineage: Bacteria
Description: partial 16S ribosomal RNA
Rfam family: Bacterial small subunit ribosomal RNA
Source: RNAcentral
UACGGAGGGUGCAAGCGUUAUCCGGAUUCACUGGGUUUAAAGGGUGCGUAGGCGGCUAGGUAAGUCCGUGGUGAAAUCCUGCAGCUUAACUGCAGAACUGCCGUGGAUACUAUUUAUCUUGAAUGUCGUGGAGGUUAGCAGAAUAUGUCAUGUAGCGGUGAAAUGCUUAGAUAUGUCAUAGAAUACCCAUUGCGAAGGCAGCUAACUGCGCGAUGAUUGACGCUGAGGCACGAAAGCGUGGGGAGCAAACAGG